Long non-coding RNA from Polyodon spathula (Mississippi paddlefish), 690 nucleotides. RefSeq lists it as uncharacterized. The record is from RefSeq and is a predicted model, not a curated record. Lineage: Eukaryota; Metazoa; Chordata; Actinopteri; Acipenseriformes; Polyodontidae. The transcript is spliced from 5 exons.
UUCUAUGAGAUACAUGCCACAAUGCUUUGGAGGAAGAAAAUUGUAUUGCAGGCAGGGUUAGAAAAUUGUAUUGCACAGCCUAAUUGGUUUUGCUAGUGCCACGUUCACCCAAGGGGAGGGCUGUUCAAAUUCCACAACAUCUCUUCAGAUGCUCUGCCACAUGUAUAAAUACAAGAGAGAAACCUGAUGCAAACUAAAUCUAACCAGUGUUCAGGAACAGAAUACUUCUUUAUUCGUUGUAUCCCUCAACGAGCAAGUCAAAAUGAGCGACGCACCAGAACUCCCAAAAGCAGAAGAAAUAAAGGAAGAGGAAAGUCAUGACAAAAAGGAGGGAAAAGGAGAGCAGGGACAUGGGCCUGGUGAGCACAAACACGGGAGUUGUGAACACAAACAUGAGCAUGGGGUAGAGGGACACGAUCAUAGUGAACACGGAGAGGGAAAAGGAUGCUGCAAAGACUAAUGAAGACAGCAGGAAUAAAUCACUUCACUGCACCCCUACACUCAACAAUGCACUCUCUCUACCUGCCUCCUCUCACUACUUCACUGCAUUGGUCACCAAGACUGAAUUGAAAUGGGAAAUAUAUGUAUUGCCAUGUUUAAAAAGAAAAAUAAUAGAUAACUAUGGCUGGUGUAACGGUACAAUAAACUUCACAGAUCCUUAUGUUAAAAAUAAAAGUAUGUGCUGUGCUU